Molecule: long non-coding RNA, 1636 nt
Filed under: Mus spicilegus (steppe mouse)
Lineage: Eukaryota; Metazoa; Chordata; Mammalia; Rodentia; Muridae
Description: lncRNA (ENSMSIG00000016229.1)
Source: RNAcentral
CUGGCUUCUGCACCCAUCAUCCCCUCUGAGUCUUCUCCCUCCCUUUCCCAAGCCCCCUAGAUUUCCUGAGCCCUCCCUUUCAUGGGAUGUUAUUACCCUCAGCCCCCCCCCCCCCAGCCCCACACCCUGCCUGUGGCUCUGCCUGUCCUGCUGCCGACCUGCUGGCAGCAUGGAGACACACAUGUCUCAGGAUAAGCCUGGGGCUAGGGAUCAAAGUCACUGGGCUCAGAGGCUGCUAGGGACCAUGGGAAGGGAACCGGGUCAGCGGAUUGAUGGGACCUGGCUCAGAGGCUCGUGAAGUGUCUCUGAGGUUGACUUCUGCCCUCAACUCUGCUCCCAGCUUGCCCUUCUGGGCCUGGGCUCCUGGCAUCUGCUUUAUCGGGAUUCUCAAGAGGGACAGCUGGUUUAUGUUACAAGCCUGUUCCCUGCAUAUCUGCUCUGGUUUUAAAUAGCUUUAUCUGAGCAGCUGGAGGACCACAUGAGCUUAUAUGGCGUGGGGUACUUGUUCUUUUAGCCCUGUGCCGGGCACCUGCCAAAAUAGCAGCCAACACCCCCCAUUGUGUUGUCCCCCCCCCCAUCUCCUGCUGCACAUUCCUCCCUCCGCGGGGCUUGGCUCACAAGGCCCCAGCCCACAUGCCUGCUUAAAGCUCUCCCCAUGCCCUGCCCUUAGCCAGUCCCUGCUGAGGCUGAACAGAUACCUCAAGACCUGUGUGCAGUCCCUGUUCAGAGGCAAUGAUCUCCUCCUCACAGGUUCUGAUAGCUCCCCCUGGGGUCUGGACAAGGUGAGUCUACACUACCAGACUCCUGGACUCAGGAGUGGCCGUGCUCAUCCCGAGAUCUACGUGGAGGUCAUUUGGUAUCCAAAUCUUCUCACUAGAACACAGCUCCACCCACUGUUAAGACACCUCACACAUUUGGUUUUUCACUAUCUAAAUGUGGGGGACGGGGGCAGGUCAGGGUGACAUGUUGCGUGGGGCUGCUGUCCUGGGUUCCACUUGAGCAGGGCCCCUCCCCACAGUCUCGGUCCUACUCCAGCGGAGGGAGCAAUGUGAGGACUUGCUUUGCUUGUUUCCAGCUGAGUAGGCCUGGACCAGCCCAAGCCACAGUGAGUUCUGAGUCUGAGGCAGUCUCUACUUAGAGCAUCUGGGAACUCCCUGCUUCCUGGACACCUGUCCGUGUCAAGGGUGGCCUCGUGCUGCCCAUCAGUGUAACUAACAGUGUGUUGCAUCUCAUGGAUGUCUGUAGAUGUGCACCUGGGGUCUCAGCCCUCUUCUCUGCAUUGGGAUAUAUGUGGGAAACUGGAGGAGACAAGGGCAGGACCAUCCAUAUCCCAGCCUUCUGUACUGGAAAUGUGGGUCAGACUACAGGGGAUGGCUUCAGUGUGGGCAGGAAACAGGACACAAGAGAAAGACACGAGGGUGGUCCUGUCAAUCACGUUGCUUCUACCGAUCUUGAGUUUGUCACAUUGGGGGCUUAUACUCCCCCUUGCCCUUUUUUUUUUUUUUGGUCAGGAAGAUUAUAUUGCAAAGAACAAGGGGCGUUGUCAACAUUUCAGUCAAUGUGCCUAUUGUCUUUGGGCUAGGCACUGAGAUGCCUUCAGGGCUUGGGUUAUAAUAAAACGGGGUGAAUUUGUACA